GCUUGCAUCAUGAUUUACAUUUAAGUGAGUGGCGAACUGGUGAGUAACACGUGGGAAACCUGCCCAGAAGCGGGGGAUAACACCUGGAAACAGAUGCUAAUACCGCAUAACAACUUGGACCGCAUGGUCCGAGUUUGAAAGAUGGCUUCGGCUAUCACUUUUGGAUGGUCCCGCGGCGUAUUAGCUAGAUGGUGGGGUAACGGCUCACCAUGGCAAUGAUACGUAGCCGACCUGAGAGGGUAAUCGGCCACAUUGGGACUGAGACACGGCCCCAAAAUUCCUACGGGGAGGCAGCCAGUAGGGAAUCUUUCCACAAUGGACGAAAGUCUGGAUGGAGCAACGCCCGCGUGAGUGAAGAAGGGUUUCGGCUCGUAAAACUCUGUUGUUAAAGAAGAACAUAUCUGAGAGUAACUGUUCAGGUAUUGACGGUAUUUAACCAGAAAGCCACGGCUAACUACGUGCCAGCAGCCGCGGUAAUACGUAGGUGGCAAGCGUUGUCCGGAUUUAUUGGGCGUAAAGCGAGCGCAGGCGGUUUUUUAAGUCUGAUGUGAAAGCCUUCGGCUCAACCGAAGAAGUGCAUCGGAAACUGGGAAACUUGAGUGCAGAAGAGGACAGUGGAACUCCAUGUGUAGCGGUGAAAUGCGUAGAUAUAUGGAAGAACACCAGUGGCGAAGGCGGCUGUCUGGUCUGUAACUGACGCUGAGGCUCGAAAGUAUGGGUAGCAAACAGGAUUAGAUACCCUGGUAGUCCAUACCGUAAACGAUGAAUGCUAAGUGUUGGAGGGUUUCCGCCCUUCAGUGCUGCAGCUAACGCAUUAAGCAUUCCGCCUGGGGAGUACGGCCGCAAGGCUGAAACUCAAAGGAAUUGACGGGGGCCCGCACAAGCGGUGGAGCAUGUGGUUUAAUUCGAAGCUACGCGAAGAACCUUACCAGGUCUUGACAUACUAUGCAAAUCUAAGAGAUUAGACGUUCCCUUCGGGGACAUGGAUACAGGUGGUGCAUGGUUGUCGUCAGCUCGUGUCGUGAGAUGUUGGGUUAAGUCCCGCAACGAGCGCAACCCUUAUUAUCAGUUGCCAGCAUUAAGUUGGGCACUCUGGUGAGACUGCCGGUGACAAACCGGAGGAAGGUGGGGAUGACGUCAAAUCAUCAUGCCCCUUAUGACCUGGGCUACACACGUGCUACAAUGGAUGGUACAACGAGUUGCGAACUCGCGAGAGUAAGCUAAUCUCUUAAAGCCAUUCUCAGUUCGGAUUGUAGGCUGCAACUCGCCUACAUGAAGUCGGAAUCGCUAGUAAUCGCGGAUCAGCAUGCCGCGGUGAAUACGUUCCCGGGCCUUGUACACUCCGCCUUUCACAUUAUGAGAGUUCGAACACCCAA
This 1376-nucleotide ribosomal RNA is filed under the name Lactiplantibacillus plantarum. RNAcentral's name for it is "bacterial SSU rRNA". It matches the Rfam family "Bacterial small subunit ribosomal RNA", at positions 66 to 1423 of the family's 1533-position model. Lineage: Bacteria; Bacillati; Bacillota; Bacilli; Lactobacillales; Lactobacillaceae. The record is from RNAcentral.